GCAGACGUAUCGAAGUGGUCAUAACGGGGCUGACUCGAAAUCAGUUAGGAGCAAUCCUCGCGAGUUCGAAUCUCGCCGUCUGCGCCA
Molecule: transfer RNA, 87 nt
Filed under: Clostridia bacterium
Lineage: Bacteria; Bacillati; Bacillota; Clostridia
Also listed under: 1 other name
Description: tRNA-Ser
Rfam family: tRNA
About the family: Transfer RNA (tRNA) molecules are approximately 80 nucleotides in length. Their secondary structure includes four short double-helical elements and three loops (D, anti-codon, and T loops). Further hydrogen bonds mediate the characteristic L-shaped molecular structure. tRNAs have two regions of fundamental functional importance: the anti-codon, which is responsible for specific mRNA codon recognition, and the 3' end, to which the tRNAs corresponding amino acid is attached (by aminoacyl-tRNA synthetases). tRNAs cope with the degeneracy of the genetic code in two manners: having more than one tRNA (with a specific anti-codon) for a particular amino acid; and 'wobble' base-pairing, i.e. permitting non-standard base-pairing at the 3rd anti-codon position.
Source: RNAcentral